This is a long non-coding RNA of Gallus gallus (chicken), 1657 nucleotides long. RefSeq lists it as uncharacterized. NCBI's taxonomy places the organism in Eukaryota, Metazoa, Chordata, Aves, Galliformes, Phasianidae. The record is from RefSeq and is a predicted model, not a curated record. The transcript has 4 exons.
GGACUUCCGUCACUGUCAGAACAGCAGCAAAACAGUGUGCCUGGCUGUGUGUGCUCGAAGGAACGAGGAUCAGGCCUCGUCUCUGAAUGUGUAGCCCCACGCUCCUUGAAGCACCUCUGCUCCAAAGGCCAUGCUGCUGCCUGCAUCCCUUUCCUCUAAUGAGAUGCUGAGGCUUUCCUCUGUUUGCACAAUCAGACCAUCAACCCUUCAUGAAAUCUAGCUGGAUGUGCCACAAAGUGACAAGACAUAAUAAACAUAAGGCCAUAUUGACUUUGAAGAAGAAAAAAUACAUUUCCUUCAGUUAGCAAAGGACAGACAAGAUAGCAAUGGCAACAGACAGGGAGACAUGAUGCUGUAGCAACCCGGGACAGGGCUCUCUGCAGUGACUAACAGUGGAGGUUACACUGCUUGGCUACAUCCUCAAAACAGUGGAAAGAAAACAGUGAGAAAUAAAAGGGCUAAGCCAGCUACCUGAAUGAUGCUCCUAUUCAAAUGCUUGGCAGUUGACCUCUAAGAUCUUCUCUGUUGCUUUAGGCCCUUGGCUGGUUGUGCUCCUUUAUGCCAUAUGUGAAGUGGUGUUACCAGUAGAAGUGUUUUCAAAUAGUCAGUUAAGAAAAGAUUCCUUCUUACUGUGGCUGAAACUCCUUCAUUCUUGUCUAAUAGGAGUAUUUCAUACUUAUCUUCUUAAAAGUGCACUUUUUUUUCUCUUGUGUCUCCAAAAUCUCAAGAUUAUUUUUAAAUUCUCACUCUCUCCUCCAGUGCAUUAGCAGUUAGUCCUCAAAUGGUGCUGUCUGCAAGUUUAUUGUUUCUUCAUCUGAGAUGGUAAUGAAAUCAGUGCGCAGUUCCAGACCCAGAGAGGCCUCCAUCCAACCCUACUGCAUACCUCUGUACGAGAUUUGUACUAUCAAUAACCGCUUUUCAGACAUGGUUAUACAACAGACUUGACUGAUGAUGCCACGUAUCACACUCAGUGUUCCCGAUAACUUCAUCAGUGGCCAGAGGAGGUGAGCCCAAGAAACCAUGAGGACCCAUUUCCAACCUUCAGGGUCGUUCACCCUUCCUCCCAAUCUCCUCACACUUCUGCUGUUUACCACACAUCCUGCCAUCCCGCACAGCGUUGCCGGAGGCCUCGCAACAUCAGCAGCUACAGGCAGUGCCUCUCUGAGGAGUAGCUCCCACUGGAGAUCAACACAGAAGACCCUUACAGCACUGGGAAGAGGACCCCAGGUACUUCUCAGUCCCACAUGUCCAGGAGAGAACCUGGAGGUUCUGCAGAAGAGGCUAACAGUGGAGUAAGCUUUUACACUUUCACCCCAGGGAUCUUACUCUGAGACUUUGUGGUGAAACACAGAAAAGAACUUAAGCAAAAACAGACCAGACACUGCAGAUUCUGAAUGAGGAGGACAUAGUUCUGAAAUUUUUGCUUGUCUGCAAAGUGUACUAAAAAGCCACAGAAGCACAACUGAAACAAGGCCUCUAAAGGCAACACUAUAAAUCUGUACCCUUUGUUUGACCCAUGGCUCAGAGUUUAAGCAGCCUGGGGCUAGAAGUCUACAAUGUGCUUGUCCAAGUUUGAAGUAAUCAUAAGGGUGCAUUUGCCAUUUUUUCCAUGGCUGACUAAAAGGAUCCAAUAGAAAUUGUCCAUAUAUUUUUUAAA